Molecule: ribosomal RNA, 422 nt
Filed under: uncultured bacterium
Lineage: Bacteria
Description: bacterial SSU rRNA
Rfam family: Bacterial small subunit ribosomal RNA
Source: RNAcentral
UGAGGAAUAUUGGUCAAUGGGGGCAACCCUGAACCAGCCAAGUCGCGUGAAGGAUGAAGGUCUUAUGGAUUGUAAACUUCUUUUACACGGGAAUAAAGCGGGGGACGUGUCCCUCUUUGCAUGUACCGUGUGAAUAAGGAUCGGCUAACUCCGUGCCAGCAGCCGCGGUAAUACGGAGGAUCCGAGCGUUAUCCGGAUUUAUUGGGUUUAAAGGGUGCGCAGGCGGGAUGUUAAGUCGGCGGUGAAAUUUUGCAGCUCAACUGUAAAAGUGCCUUCGAUACUGGCCUUCUUGAGUGUGGAUGAAGUAGGCGGAAUUUGUGGUGUAGCGGUGAAAUGCUUAGAUAUCACGAGGAACUCCGAUUGCGCAGGCAGCUUACUAGGCCACAACUGACGCUCAUGCACGAAGGCGUGGGGAUCAAACA